Molecule: ribosomal RNA, 421 nt
Filed under: uncultured beta proteobacterium
Lineage: Bacteria; Pseudomonadati; Pseudomonadota; Betaproteobacteria
Description: bacterial SSU rRNA
Rfam family: Bacterial small subunit ribosomal RNA
Source: RNAcentral
CGGCAGCAUGGAGGGCUUGCUCUCUGAUGGCGAGUGGCGAACGGGUGAGUAAAGCAUCGGAACGUGCCGUGUAGUGGGGGAUAACGUAGCGAAAGUUACGCUAAUACCGCAUACGCACCGAGGUGGAAAGCAGGGGAUCGCAAGACCUUGCGCUAUACGAGCGGCCGAUGUCAGAUUAGCUAGUUGGUAGGGUAAAGGCCUACCAAGGCGACGAUCUGUAGCGGGUCUGAGAGGAUGAUCCGCCACACUGGGACUGAGACACGGCCCAGACUCCUACGGGAGGCAGCAGUGGGGAAUUUUGGACAAUGGGGGAAACCCUGAUCCAGCCAUGCCGCGUGAGUGAAGAAGGCCUUCGGGUUGUAAAGCUCUUUCGGCUGGGAAGAAAUCGCACAGGCUAAUACUCUGUGUGGAUGACGGUACC